Molecule: long non-coding RNA, 580 nt
Filed under: Equus caballus (horse)
Lineage: Eukaryota; Metazoa; Chordata; Mammalia; Perissodactyla; Equidae
Description: lncRNA (ENSECAG00000040256.3)
Source: RNAcentral
CUUUGACAGCUGCUCCACCUACAUGCAGAUGGGAGAGGAGGUUGCUCCCUUAUGAUUCUUUUGAACGUCAAUCCUAUAACCUUAAAACCAUCACUACAGCACUGGACAUUUAAUUUUGAGACUUGGGAGUGUCUGUCUCUGAAGCUCCUCCAAGGCCUCAGCAGAAAUAUGAAGAGGCAUUUCAGAGUUAAGAUGAAACCUAUUCUGAAAUUCAGUUUUAUGGAAGACACAAACCAAGGAAUACAGGCAAGAUUUGGACAUUUGAGUCAAGCAGAUUUGACACUGAUGGCUAGCCUUGGAAAAACUCUUCACUGAGGCUGGAGACCUGUCAUGAACUGCAGCCACAAAACAGCCCUUGCCAGCUGCCUGCUCCUUAUACCACAGCUUCUGGUCCCCAAAGCCCCCAGCUGAGCAGAUUGAGGAGUGAAUGAAGAAAGAAGAUGUGAGAUUAUACUAGAAGAAAAAUCACUUCAGAAAGUCUUGAGUUGAACUCUUCUGAAAACCAAGAGAAAGCAAGGCAGUUGAAUUCAACACUUUACUUUUCAUCAGCUCAGUGCAAAUGAAAACAAGUUUAAAUGUG